UAUGAGGUGGAUUGGAUGAGUUGGGGCUGCUGGAGCAUGCUAAAGAAUAGAUGGUAGGGUGUAGGGAGAAGGGAACUGGUGGAGUUGGGCGGCUGGCAGCUGGGCUGUUUCAGCCACACGCCUGCCCCCUUCUUUUUUUUUUUUCUUUUUUUUUUUUUUUUUUUUCUUCUUUGCUUCCUUGUUGGCUGAUGGUGUUAAACAAAAGAAUGUGUUGCAUUUGAUGUGUAGUAAUGUGGGAUAUGGCUAAAGUAAAGCUCUUGCCUUUUGGUAAUUCUAAACUUGUAAUAUAGCAACACCCUUAAUGAAAUACUAGUCUUGGAUUCUCACUAAUGUAGCGUAUAUAUAUAUACUCGCACGAUAACUGAUUUCUCGCUUGCUAGCCUUGAUGGACUGUAAAAUAAAUCUAAAUUAAAUCCGUA
RNAcentral lists this long non-coding RNA (419 nucleotides) under Salvia miltiorrhiza (redroot sage). RNAcentral's name for it is "long non-coding RNA (SMIL_LNC002151)". The record is from RNAcentral. Lineage: Eukaryota; Viridiplantae; Streptophyta; Magnoliopsida; Lamiales; Lamiaceae.